Tinamus guttatus (white-throated tinamou) is the source of this 235-nucleotide non-coding RNA. NCBI's taxonomy places the organism in Eukaryota, Metazoa, Chordata, Aves, Tinamiformes, Tinamidae. The record is from RefSeq and is a predicted model, not a curated record.
GGAGAAAAAGGAGAAAAGGGUGAAGAAGGAUUUCAAGGCUUUCCUGGACUGAAAGGUGAAAAAGGAGAAAAGGGGUCCCUGGGCUCACCUGGCCCCCCUGGGAAGGAUGGAGCAAAAGGAGAAACCGGUGAACCAGGACAACCAGGAGAAUUUGGACUGCCUGGGCCAGCAGGUCCAAAGGGAUCUGAAGGAAAACAGGGUCCUCCAGGAAUUAAAGGCUAUGUAGGAGCACCGG